Molecule: long non-coding RNA, 362 nt
Organism: Ornithodoros turicata
Lineage: Eukaryota; Metazoa; Arthropoda; Arachnida; Ixodida; Argasidae
Exons: 3
Source: RefSeq, a predicted model, not a curated record
UAUAGCUGCCUAGUUGCUGUAUCGUCUAGCGUAGCGUAGUAUAACGUCUAGUUACUGGGAUCGUCAUCAUGAGAUACGUGCGGACCCUAUUAUUCCUAAGCUGCAUUCUUAGCUGCUAUGCUGUCCAUGACAAGAAGGAAUUCCAUAAGAAGAUCAUGUCAUUCAACCCUGCGACCUUUACGCCAACAUGCAAGACGGUGUUCAAGAAAUGCGCUCUCAAGGCUUUUGCCCUUAUGAAGCUCACCUCGGUUAUCCAAGAACAAUGGGACGACUUCAUAAAAAUCGAGUGUGUCGCUCAUCUACUGGAUGCUGGAUACCCGGACUACUCGAAGGAAUGCGACAUGAACGCCACCUACGGAGAG